UGGGGAAUAUUGCACAAUGGAGGAAACUCUGAUGCAGCGACGCCGCGUGAGUGAAGAAGGUCUUCGGAUCGUAAAACUCUGUCCUUGGUGACGAAAAAAAUGACGGUAGCCAAGGAGGAAGCCCCGGCUAACUACGUGCCAGCAGCCGCGGUAAUACGUAGGGGGCGAGCGUUGUCCGGAUUUACUGGGCGUAAAGGGUGAGUAGGCGGUAAUAUGUGUCAGAUGUAAAAGGCUAUGGCUUAACCAUAGUUGGCAUUUGAAACUGGAUUACUUGAGUGCAGGAUAGGAAAGUGGAAUUCAUAGUGUAGCGGUUAAAUGCGUAGAUAUUAGGAGGAACACCAGUGGCGAAGGCGACUUACUGGACUGUAACUGACGCUGAUUCACGAAAGCGUGGG
RNAcentral lists this ribosomal RNA (395 nucleotides) under uncultured bacterium. RNAcentral's name for it is "bacterial SSU rRNA". It matches the Rfam family "Bacterial small subunit ribosomal RNA", at positions 355 to 765 of the family's 1533-position model. The record is from RNAcentral.